Molecule: long non-coding RNA, 254 nt
Filed under: Lathyrus oleraceus (garden pea)
Lineage: Eukaryota; Viridiplantae; Streptophyta; Magnoliopsida; Fabales; Fabaceae
Description: Pisum sativum (pea) long non-coding RNA (PSAT_LNC022286)
Source: RNAcentral
AGGUAGUAAAGAUGCACGCCACACGCUUAAAAACAUAACAAGAGGAUUCUUUUGAGGCAGGGAAACCAACUUCGCUCGAAAAAGGUACGCUCGCCAGAUCCUAAGUGUAGAAAACCUCAUCGCGGUCAAUACCGAAAGAGAGCGCCAAAUGCCAUACUCCAUGAUCGUCUUCUCGAAGAAAGAUGUGGUUGACAUACAUCCUCAUAAUGACAACCUUAUGGUCAUUACUAUCAAGUGUGAGGAAUGGGAAAUCA